CUCCUGGGAUGUGGAAAGUGGUUCAGAAGAAUAAGCAGAAUUUUUCAGGGUGCCAAGAAAUCCUCAAAAAAAAAGAAAGAAAGAAAACACAGAGGCCUCUUUGCAGAAAACAGUUAAUAAAUUAUCAAGCAACUUUUCUCUUGGAGCUGCAUUCACAGGUUGUAAUAUCCAAUGUGUCCACAGGAGGGCAGUAUUUACCACGAAUUAAAGCAGACUCUCCAGGUCGUCCUCUAACCCUUAAGAUACUUUAUCUGCCAAAAGAAAUUUAUUAAGAAAUAUCAACUGGGGUUUCCAACUUUUACUUUUCAAAGGCACAAAUAAUAGCCAUCAUAUGUUUCAGAUCACUCUGAGACGACCAGUGUUAUCAAACUCCAGCACCCUCCAAAACAUUUUGUAGUUUGCUUUCUCACAGAAAAAUGCAAGAAGAGUUAUUAAGAUGUGGAAAAUUAAAAAGGAGAGAAGAAAGCAAUGGAGGGAGGGAAAGAGAGAAAGGAGAAAAGUAAGAGAAGCCUGAGAACCAUUACGGCUUUCCUGUUCCCUGGGGAUCCAAGGGCUCUGGUUUAGAGAAACCCUAAUUUUAGCCAAAGGAGCCCGGAGUUCUUGCCAUGGUAGGGUCGUCCCAUUUUCCUUUUCAAAGUAGGACAGACAUUCUUCCUUGGAUGGAACUUUCUAACUGAGCCUAUGUUUGGGAAGUGCUAAAUGUGUGUUAAGAAGAUUAUCUAGCUCAGGGAAUUUUCUCAUCACAAGUUCUUGGCCAAUGAUAAUUGUUUUGCAGUUGAAGUGGUGGUAUUUGGCAUCCGCUGAAUUUGUGUCUACCUACAUUUUGGUGACAUAAGCUUAGAGGGAGGAGACAUCAGGUCAAUUCAAGGCAAGACGAACCUAGUCAUCUUGACCAGACUGUAAUACGCUUGAGGUCAGGGACUUCAUGGCAAAUGUCAUUUUUCCUCCAGUGCCAGUGUAGAGCUUGGCACAUGGUAUAAAGGAGACGAUGAUAAUGCAUUAAAAACUGAGAUUAACAAAGAGUAUUAAUUUUCCAGUGUCUGUGACCCAAGGUAUCAUGGAAACGGGCAACGUACUAUAUAUUCAUUUGCAUAUGAUCUGUGUUUAAUUCCCAAGUUAAGAUUUUAAUAGUCAACAAAAUUCAGAGGAUUGGAAAAGGAAUAUUGUGCAUAUUCUCCUAUUUCGUUACACAGGUCCACUCUGGGGGCUGGUAAAAUAUCGGCCACAUGUUGGCCACGCCGUCACCUGCAGUAAAAAUACUGGCCGCCAGAUAGUGUAAUUGCCGUGUGUGUGCUUAGCCGCUCAGUCGUGUCCCACUCUUUGUCACCCCGUGGACUGUAGUCCGCCAGGCUCCUCUGUCCAGGGGGAUUCUGCAGGAAGAAUACUGGAGUGGGUUGCCAUGCCCUCCUCCAAGGGAGCUUCCCAAUCCCGGGGUUGAAAUCAGGUCUUCCGAAUUGCAGGUGGAUUCUUUACCAUCUGAGGCGCCAGGGAAACCCAACGGCCUUUCUGUUUAUCUCUCCUCUGCUGCCGUGUCCCUUCAGGUGGGUCUCUGAGUGCUGGUCUCUGCUGAUGAGACUAAAUGGCCUUCAAAUUCAUUUUAAUUACUAAACCUGGGAAGAGGAGAAAAUAAUGGACAGAAUGAUAGAGUUACAGCCAGACUCUUCACCUUUGAGUUCAUCUGAGAUUCAGGUUGAUUUUAUUGGAGGAGACAGAGAAGGAAACACAGUUUCAGAAGCUCAGUUCCUAUUUCUAACAGAAUCAAUGAGCUAGAGGGUGAAGUGUUUCCCGCCCUGGCU
This is a long non-coding RNA of Bos taurus (domestic cattle), 1796 nucleotides long. The record is from Ensembl. NCBI's taxonomy places the organism in Eukaryota, Metazoa, Chordata, Mammalia, Artiodactyla, Bovidae.